GUCUUUUGAAGCUUCUCAACUUUUGAAUUUAAUUCAGUGAGUCUCUUCUCUGCUUCAUUUAUCUGGGUUCCCAACUCUUUUUUCUCUUUAUUCUUCAUAUCAACUUCCUUUUUUAGUGUCUCAACUAGCUUUUCUAGUUGAUCAACUCGAGCAUUAGCCUUUUUAACUUUCUCCUCAGCAUCCAAUGAACCUUUUUCUUGGAGAGA
RNAcentral lists this unclassified non-coding RNA (206 nucleotides) under Hevea brasiliensis (rubber tree). The record is from RNAcentral. Lineage: Eukaryota; Viridiplantae; Streptophyta; Magnoliopsida; Malpighiales; Euphorbiaceae.